This 105-nucleotide small nucleolar RNA is filed under the name Canis lupus familiaris (dog). Its description in RNAcentral is "Small nucleolar RNA U3 (multiple genes)". The stretch from base 1 to 41 matches the Rfam family "Small nucleolar RNA U3", at positions 1 to 41 of the family's 219-position model. The record is from Rfam by way of RNAcentral. Lineage: Eukaryota; Metazoa; Chordata; Mammalia; Carnivora; Canidae. RNAcentral also lists the same sequence under 1 other name.
AAGACUAUACUUUCAGGGAUCAUUUCUAUAGUUUGUUACCAGUACUGAGCAUCCCGGCUGAGGAAGCUAUGGGGAGUCCUACCUCCACACGCAACUGUCAAUAGC